UCAUAUCUUUGAAACUCGUGAGGCUUGUUGUCCUCGUAAUUUGGCAUGGUUCCUUGUGAUAGGUCUUAUGUUCCGGUAGUAAGAUCAAAGAUGUAUUCCACAACGAUGCAUAAUUUGGAUCCAUCAUUUAUUGCAAAACCAAAUGCAGAUGUAAAUGAAGAUGCACAUCAAGAUUUGGAUGUAGAUGCAAAUACUGAUAUAGAUCCAGAAUUAGAUGCAGAUGCAUACAGAUGUUGAUCAAGAUUUGAAUGUAGAUGCAUAUUUUGAGUUGAUCUUCUUGGAAGCCAUGUCAUUGAACUUUGUCAUUCGAAGUCAAAAUAUGAGAGAAGCUACAAUCUUUAGGAAACCGUUCAGAAAAGAUAUGCAAUCCUCUGAUUCUUUUCUUCAAUGAUGUUCUUGAUUUGAUGGAAUACUUGCGACUCAACUUUUGGAUCGAAUCGUUCUUUGUACUUGCGGCUCAACACUUGGAUCAAAGACUUAUUUGUAAGUAGAAGACAUACUGAUCACCACCGAAGAGCAAGGAUUCUCUUCUAUGUGUCUUCUUCCUUUUCUUCUUUCCUUUGGUCUUAUGAAAGAUGUCUUUAUAUAGGAUUGAGUUGGGGUAUUAGGGUUAUUUUUUCCCAACAAAAUUUUCUACUUGGUCUUGAAAAACAUGAGUUGGGCUCGUCUUGUCAAUUUAAGGGACUUAAUCAAAUGUGAAUAUGACUUUAUUUAUGUCAUAUAUUUUUACUUCUAUAUUAAUCGGACUAUAUUAACUUGUA
This is a long non-coding RNA of Solanum pennellii, 761 nucleotides long. RefSeq lists it as uncharacterized. Lineage: Eukaryota; Viridiplantae; Streptophyta; Magnoliopsida; Solanales; Solanaceae. The transcript has 2 exons. The record is from RefSeq and is a predicted model, not a curated record.